UACAGAGGGGGCAAGCGUUGUUCGGAAUUACUGGGCGUAAAGGGCGCGUAGGCGGCCUGCUAAGUCGAACGUGAAAUCCCUGGGCUCAACCCAGGAACUGCGUCCGAUACUGGUUGGCUUGAAUCCGGGAGAGGGAUGUGGAAUUCCAGGUGUAGCGGUGAAAUGCGUAGAUAUCUGGAGGAACACCGAUGGCGAAGGCAGCCAUCUGGACCGACACUGACGCUGAGGCGCGAAAGCGUGGGGAGCAAACAGG
RNAcentral lists this ribosomal RNA (253 nucleotides) under uncultured bacterium. RNAcentral describes it as "partial 16S ribosomal RNA". It matches the Rfam family "Bacterial small subunit ribosomal RNA", at positions 524 to 776 of the family's 1533-position model. The record is from RNAcentral.